AUUACCCAGCAAUACCUGGGAAAAUUAUUGCAAAUUUUAUUAGCAAUAGUAGUUUAGUUAAUUUUUUAUUACAGCCACAACUCUUACCGAUGCCGGACGUUGUGCUCGCAGUAUCAUAAAUUGUAUAUUUUUGCGUACCUUCAUGUCAAACAUGAACCACUCGGUCUCGUAGGCAGCCACAGCGAUGGCCAGAUUCUGGAAUAUAUUACAAAAACAGGCAGGCAAAGGCCACUACAACAACAACAUCAACUACAAGUACAAGUACAUCAAUUCACCUGCUCCCUCAGCUCAUUGGCAUACCAAUAGAGUGCCAAUAUCUGUGCGAGUAUCAUGUUUAUAUACGCACUCACAAUGGCUAUAUGUGCGGACGAGUCCACCUAGACGGAAAAGCAACAGAAGAGGCAUACAUACAUAUAUACUGCAAGCAUGUGAGAGCUGCUGGGGGUUGAGCAAACGAUGCUUGAGACGUCGCAAACGAUGCUGCAGCGACUGGCACAUCACAAUGCCGAACAUAAUGAAGCCCACACAGAGACUCGUAUAGGGUAUAUACAUGCAGCAGCCCAUCGGUGUGAUGAGCAGGUGAAAGACGAACCAAAUUUGAUAGUAGGGUGUGGCAUAUUCAUUGACGCCCGGUAUCUUGCUGCCAAAGGGCAGAACUGCAAGUGCUCAAAGCUAACGACAGUAUUUGAAGCUCUUGAUUAAUUUUAGUGGAGCAAGGAUUUUGGGGAAAACGUUCAAAGGUAAUUCAAGUUUCAAGAUAAUGAAGUUUUGAUUAAUUUUAGUUGAUGUGAAGAACUUAGAGCAAGUGGUUAAGGAUCAUAGGAUUGGUUAUUAAUGGAAGCUGUCUGUUGAUUAAGAGUAUCAGAGCUUUCGGUGGAAGCUUUCAAAGCAACUCUUCACUCACCCCUCUCAGUAGAGCUCAGCGGAUAAAGGGCAAAGCCAAUGCAGGUGAGCAGCCCAAAGAAGAGAUUCCCACGCGCCAUAAGUCGACCCUGCUGAUUCAUCUUAGCCAAAAGGUAGGCUAUAUAGCGAUCAUCCAUGCGCUUCAGCUCAUAGCACGAGUUGCUCAGAUCGCUGAUCAGCUGAAUAUAUCUCUGCUGAUCGAAUAGCAGCAAGUACGCACGCAGCACCGUGUUUAUCCAGAGCACCAGCAUAUAGGAGUUGCGUAUGAUGCCCGUGAUGCCCUCGUCCGUCGUGCACAUGUAGAAGAUCUGGGUGAGCACAUGGACAAUGCUCAGUGUUAGGCAAAUGUAACGUUUCACAUUCUUAUCGUAGAGCAGCGCCCAGAAGCGCAAUAUCCGCACAUUCAUGUAAAUCAAUUGGAUGUCCUCGAGCAUAUUGGUAACUCAACUAUUUGUCGAUAUGUGCAGUCGGCUGACUUUUAUAUCUUUGCCCAAGGUUAUGCAAUAGUUAUUAUAAUUUUGUUGUGCUGCCCUGAUUCAUGCCACGCCUUGCAAGCGCUCCCAGGCACAAUUUUUAAAGUAAUUUUCUUCAUUUUGCAAUGCUCGCUCAGGGAGUGAAGAUUGGAGUAUAUUCGAUUGGCGUUAGGUACUUGAAAUGUUGAGAAAUUAAAGUGAAUGACUUGAACUUAAACAAGACUUGAAAAUAACUGAAAACUUGUUUAAUAAACUGUACAAAAAUUUUUAUUUACAAAAUAAAAAAAUUAAAAAUGAA
Drosophila mojavensis is the source of this 1674-nucleotide long non-coding RNA. RefSeq lists it as uncharacterized. The record is from RefSeq and is a predicted model, not a curated record. The transcript is spliced from 4 exons. Lineage: Eukaryota; Metazoa; Arthropoda; Insecta; Diptera; Drosophilidae.